GUCCUACAAUGUUUUAGCACAGUAAUCUAAGUUGUCUCUGUAGUAUAAAAAACAGAGCAGAGUGUUUUUGGGGUUCCUCAGUUGCAGUGAGAUGUGAGGCACUUGCAGAGACUCAGUCCACCACCCUGGGCAGCUUUCACCACCCUGGGCAGCUUUUCCGAGACGUAGGGACUGGCUUGCCGUAAUUCAUAGCUUCUGCUGUCCCUUGCUACAUACCUGAUUUUCUGUUUACUUUUGCUCAGAAGCUUGACAAAAAUGUCCUUAGCCUCAUUUCUCUGGCUGCCCCAGCUCCCUGAUUUAGGUGACCUCAUUCAAAUCUGCCUCUGGCUGAGUUCAAUCCUCAGAACCCAUUUCUGGCUGCCCUUUUCAGGCUGUGUCAUACCCAGCCCCAUAAGCUGGAGUGCGGUGGCAUGAUCUCGGCUCACUGCAAACUCUGCCUCCCCAGUUCAAAUGAUUCUUCUGCCUUCUGCCUCAGCCUCCCAAAUAGCUGGAACUACAGCAAGGCCAACUUUUCUACCAGAUAACCCUGACCUCAUCCUGUCAGAAUUGAAUGGACCAAGAAUUGAGCUACCCUAAAAGGCCAGUUUUCUGGAAAUAGUUUGAAGAUACCGACUCAUGGUUAAAUGUUUCACAUUUACCCUCAGAAAUGAGUGCUACUGUUCAGAAACGGAGGUGCCCACUUUGCUUGUGGGAUUUAGGAGGAAAUGCCACACACUGUCAUAGAAAAAAUGGCGUCUCACUCUAUUGCCCAGGCUAGAGUACAAUAGUGCAAUCUUGGCUCACUGCAACCUCCCCCUCCCAGGUUCAAGCCAUUCUCCUGCCUCAGCCUCCCGAGUAGCUAGAACUACAAGCACGUGCACUGUACCCAGCUAAUUUUUUGUAUUUUUAGCAGAGACGGGGUUUCUCCAUGUUGGCCAGGCUGGUCUCGAACUCCUGACCUCAGGUAAUCCACCGCCUCAUCCUCCCAAAAUGCAUUAUCUCUUCCCAAAAUGCAUUAUCUAUUUCAUUAAGAAAAAGGAGAAAGCAACCAUGCUAAGCUUCAAAUAAAAGCAUGUGAGCACACCUGAUGACGCUAGACCCACUGGAAUCUCGCAUAACUCAUCCUGAACGUGUUGGGAAUCAAGUCUCUCAGGAUUAGCCCUGGUAAUCUGAAAGUCACCAGUCAUCAAGAAGUGGCAUCUCUACCAUGUGGUGCAAUCAUAGCCCUGAACUCAAAUUUCUGUCUGAUAUAUUUGAUGUGAUCCCUCCUUUUAUACCCUUUUAACUUCUGCUUGGAGAGACCCACUGACCUUGUAGCUGACUGUCAGAACUUUUCCUUGCCAGGCCAGCAAUAAAUUUGGCAUUGUUUUGGACAUUGA
RNAcentral lists this long non-coding RNA (1358 nucleotides) under Homo sapiens (human). RNAcentral describes it as "HSALNT0368627". The record is from RNAcentral. Lineage: Eukaryota; Metazoa; Chordata; Mammalia; Primates; Hominidae.